This 506-nucleotide long non-coding RNA is filed under the name Pongo abelii (Sumatran orangutan). RNAcentral describes it as "lincRNA". The record is from RNAcentral. Lineage: Eukaryota; Metazoa; Chordata; Mammalia; Primates; Hominidae.
CUUUACAGUCUGCAAUGAUUGACGAGGUCAAACAGGACUCACUUGCAUUGCUGGGUCUCUGUGGCGACAGGGAGGACUUGGAGAUCAAAGAAACUCUAGUAACGUGGAAAUUCAUUCUCUGAGUAGUGACAAGCCAGUGACUUUUUCUAUAGAAAGGGUAUCAGACUCCAAUUUGAAAAUCUCAAGCAGCUUUAUAUUCAAGCAAGUUCAAUCCAAUCUCUUCCUGACUCACUGUCUCAUCAACAUGCAAAGCUCUCGAAGAGAAAUCAUCUCUUACUUGCCUGAGGGAGUUCUGGCAGACGUUUUGAAUGUGGAUGUGGAAGUUCUUUCCUCGUCUCCAUCCUGUCAAGAGCCGUGGAGCAAACAGCAGGAUGAGGAAGACAUGGAAGACAAAACUGAUAACGCACGUCACCUCGCUGCGGCGGGAGACGGAAUGUAACUUCAAUUCAGCCUCUUUGGGGUUUGGGUUCUGACCAAGUAAAUCGGGAAUGUUGUUAACAAAUCAA